Molecule: ribosomal RNA, 477 nt
Filed under: uncultured bacterium
Lineage: Bacteria
Description: partial 16S ribosomal RNA
Rfam family: Bacterial small subunit ribosomal RNA
Source: RNAcentral
GACGAACGCUGGCGGCGUGCUUAACACAUGCAAGUCGAACGGUAAGGCCCUUCGGGGUACACGAGUGGCGAACGGGGGAGUAACACGUGGGUGAUCUGCCCUGCACUUCGGGAUAAGCCUGGGAAACUGGUCUAAUACCGGAUAGGACCACUGCCUGCAUGGGUGGUGGUGGAAAGCUUGUGCGGGUUGGGAUGGGCCCGCGGCCUAUCAGCUUGUUGGUGGGGUGAUGGCCUACCAAGGCGACGACGGGUAGCCGGCCUGGGAGGGUGACCGGCCACACUGGGACUGAGAUACGGCCCAGACUCCUACGGGGGGCAGCAGUGGGGAAUAUUGCACAAUGGGGGCAAGCCGGAUGCGGCGGCGCCGCGUGAGGAAUGACGGCCUUCGGGUUGUAAACCUCUUUCAGCAUCGACGAAGCGAAAGUGACGGUAGGUGCAGAAGAAGGACCGGCCAACUACGUGCCAGCCGCCGCCGUAA